CUACGGUGGGCUGCAGUGGGGAAUAUUGGACAAUGGGCGAAAGCCUGAUCCAGCCAUGCCGCGUGUGUGAAGAAGGCCUUCGGGUUGUAAAGCACUUUCAGUGGGGAAGAAAGCCUUGGGGCUAAUACCCUCGAGGAAGGACAUCACCCACAGAAGAAGCACCGGCUAACUCCGUGCCAGCAGCCGCGGUAAUACGGAGGGUGCGAGCGUUAAUCGGAAUUACUGGGCGUAAAGCGCGCGUAGGCGGUCUGAUAAGCCGGUUGUGAAAGCCCCGGGCUCAACCUGGGAACGGCAUCCGGAACUGUCAGGCUAGAGUGCAGGAGAGGAAGGUAGAAUUCCCGGUGUAGCGGUGAAAUGCGUAGAGAUCGGGAGGAAUACCAGUGGCGAAGGCGGCCUUCUGGACUGACACUGACGCUGAGGUGCGAAAGCGUGGGUAGCAAACAGGAUUAGAUACCCUUGUAGUC
Molecule: ribosomal RNA, 464 nt
Filed under: Vreelandella stevensii
Lineage: Bacteria; Pseudomonadati; Pseudomonadota; Gammaproteobacteria; Oceanospirillales; Halomonadaceae
Description: partial 16S ribosomal RNA
Rfam family: Bacterial small subunit ribosomal RNA
Source: RNAcentral